Molecule: ribosomal RNA, 548 nt
Filed under: uncultured bacterium
Lineage: Bacteria
Description: bacterial SSU rRNA
Rfam family: Bacterial small subunit ribosomal RNA
Source: RNAcentral
UGAACGCUGGCGGAGGCUUACACAUGCAAGUCGAGCGGUAACAUUUCUAGCUUGCUAGAAGAUGACGAGCGGCGGACGGGUGAGUAACGCGUAGGAAUCUGCCUAGUAGUGGGGGACAACAUGUGGAAACGCAUGCUAAUACCGCAUACGCCCUACGGGGGAAAGGAGGGGAUCUUCGGACCUUUCGCUAUUAGAUGAGCCUGCGUGAGAUUAGCUAGUUGGUGGGGUAAAGGCCUACCAAGGCGACGAUCUCUAGCUGGUCUGAGAGGAUGAUCAGCCACACUGGGACUGAGACACGGCCCAGACUCCUACGGGAGGCAGCAGUGGGGAAUAUUGGACAAUGGGCGCAAGCCUGAUCCAGCCAUGCCGCGUGUGUGAAGAAGGCCUUAGGGUUGUAAAGCACUUUCAGGAGUGAGGAAGGGCGUAUAGUUAAUACCUGUAUGUUUUGACGUUAACUCCAGAAGAAGCACCGGCUAACUCUGUGCCAGCAGCCGCGGUAAUACAGAGGGUGCGAGCGUUAAUCGGAAUUACUGGGCGUAUAGCGCGCG